Molecule: ribosomal RNA, 235 nt
Filed under: uncultured bacterium
Lineage: Bacteria
Description: partial 16S ribosomal RNA
Rfam family: Bacterial small subunit ribosomal RNA
Source: RNAcentral
UGGCGGACGGGUGAGUAAUGUCUGGGAAACUGCCCGAUGGAGGGGGAUAACUACUGGAAACGGUAGCUAAUACCGCAUAACGUCGCAGGACCAAAGAGGGGGACCUUCGGGCCUCUUGCCAUCGGAUGUGCCCAGAUGGGAUUAGCUAGUAGGUGGGGUAACGGCUCACCUAGGCGACGAUCCCUAGCUGGUCUGAGAGGAUGACCAGCCACACUGGAACUGAGACACGGUCCAG